RNAcentral lists this ribosomal RNA (253 nucleotides) under uncultured bacterium. Its description in RNAcentral is "partial 16S ribosomal RNA". It matches the Rfam family "Bacterial small subunit ribosomal RNA", at positions 524 to 776 of the family's 1533-position model. The record is from RNAcentral.
UACGUAGGCAGCGAGCGUUGUUCGGAGUUACUGGGCGUAAAGGGUGUGUAGGCGGUUCUCUAAGUUUGGUGUGAAAUCUCCCGGCUCAACCGGGAGGGUGCGCCGAAAACUGGAGGGCUAGAGUGCGGGAAGGGAGAGUAGAAUUCCUGGUGUAGCGGUGAAAUGCGUAGAUAUCAGGAGGAAUACCGGUGGUGCAGACGGCUCUCUGGACCGCGACUGACGCUGAGGCGCGAAAGCUAGGGGAGCAAACGGG